UACCAGCACCCCGAGUGGUCGGGACGAUUAUUGGGCCUAAAGCAUCCGUAGCCGGUCAUGCAAGUCCUCCGUUAAAUCCACCUGCUUAACAGAUGGGCUGCGGAGGAUACUACAAGGCUAGGAGGCGGAAGAGGCAAGCGGUACUCAGUGGGUAGGGGUAAAAUCCUCUGAUCCAUUGAAGACCGCCAGUGGCGAAGGCGGCUUGCCAAUACGCGCUCGACGGUGAGGGAUGAAAGCUGGGGGAGCAAACCGG
RNAcentral lists this ribosomal RNA (253 nucleotides) under uncultured bacterium. RNAcentral describes it as "partial 16S ribosomal RNA". It matches the Rfam family "Archaeal small subunit ribosomal RNA", at positions 474 to 727 of the family's 1478-position model. The record is from RNAcentral.